Molecule: ribosomal RNA, 402 nt
Filed under: Lactiplantibacillus plantarum
Lineage: Bacteria; Bacillati; Bacillota; Bacilli; Lactobacillales; Lactobacillaceae
Description: bacterial SSU rRNA
Rfam family: Bacterial small subunit ribosomal RNA
Source: RNAcentral
UCUGUUGUUAAAGAAGAACAUAUCUGAGAGUAACUGUUCAGGUAUUGACGGUAUUUAACCAGAAAGCCACGGCUAACUACGUGCCAGCAGCCGCGGUAAUACGUAGGUGGCAAGCGUUGUCCGGAUUUAUUGGGCGUAAAGCGAGCGCAGGCGGUUUUUUAAGUCUGAUGUGAAAGCCUUCGGCUCAACCGAAGAAGUGCAUCGGAAACUGGGAAACUUGAGUGCAGAAGAGGACAGUGGAAUUCCAUGUGUAGCGGUGAAAUGCGUAGAUAUAUGGAAGAACACCAGUGGCGAAGGCGGCUGUCUGGUCUGUAACUGACGCUGAGGCUCGAAAGUAUGGGUAGCAAACAGGAUUAGAUACCCUGGUAGUCCAUACCGUAAACGAUGAAUGCUAAGUGUUGG